RNAcentral lists this ribosomal RNA (468 nucleotides) under uncultured bacterium. Its description in RNAcentral is "partial 16S ribosomal RNA". It matches the Rfam family "Bacterial small subunit ribosomal RNA", at positions 28 to 507 of the family's 1533-position model. The record is from RNAcentral.
GACGAACGCUGGCGGCGUGCUUAACACAUGCAAGUCGAACGGCAAGGCCCUGCUUUUGUGGGGUGCUCGAGUGGCGAACGGGUGAGUAACACGUGAGUAACCUGCCCUUGACUUUGGGAUAACUUCAGGAAACUGGGGCUAAUACCGGAUAGGAGCUCCUGCUGCAUGGUGGGGGUUGGAAAGUUUCGGCGGUUGGGGAUGGACUCGCGGCUUAUCAGCUUGUUGGUGGGGUAGUGGCUUACCAAGGCUUUGACGGGUAGCCGGCCUGUGAGGGUGACCGGCCACAUUGGGACUGAGGGACGGCCCAGACUCCUACGGGAGGCAGCAGUGGGGAAUAUUGCACAAUGGGCGGAAGCCUGAUGCAGCAACGCCGCGUGCGGGAUGACGGCCUUCGGGUUGUAAACCGCAUUCGCCUGUGACGAAGCGUGAGUGACGGUAAUGGGUAAAGAAGCACCGGCUAACUACGUG